This 1050-nucleotide ribosomal RNA is filed under the name uncultured bacterium. RNAcentral's name for it is "bacterial SSU rRNA". It matches the Rfam family "Bacterial small subunit ribosomal RNA", at positions 8 to 1064 of the family's 1533-position model. The record is from RNAcentral.
AGAGUUUGAUCCUGGCUCAGGAUGAACGCUGGCGGCGUGCCUAAUACAUGCAAGUCGAGCGAGAUGUUAGCGCAUGAACCUUCGGGGGAUUAUGCUAACGGACAGCGGCGGACGGGUGAGUAACGCGUAGGCAACCUGCCCCUGACAGAGGGAUAGCCAUUGGAAACGAUGAUUAAAACCUCAUGACACCGUAGAAGCACAUGCUUCAUCGGUCAAAGAUUUAUCGGUCAGGGAUGGGCCUGCGUCUGAUUAACUAGUUGGUGAGGUAACGGCUCACCAAGGUGACGAUCAGUAGCCGACCUGAGAGGGUGAUCGGCCACAUUGGAACUGAGACACGGUCCAAACUUCUACGGAAGGCAGCAGUAGGGAAUCUUGCACAAUGGGCGAAAGCCUGAUGCAGCAACGCCGCGUGAAGGAUGAAGGCCUUCGGGUUGUAAACUUCUGUUCUAAGGGAAGAAACAAAUGACGGUACCUUAGGAGCAAGCCCCGGCUAACUACGUGCCAGCAGCCGCGGUAAUACGUAGGGGGCAAGCGUUAUCCGGAAUUAUUGGGCGUAAAGAGUGCGUAGGUGGUUACCUAAGCGCAAGGUUUAAUUUAGAGGCUCAACCUCUACUUGCCUUGCGAACUGGGCUACUUGAGUGCAGGAGGGGAAAGCGGAAUUCCUAGUGUAGCGGUGAAAUGCGUAGAUAUUAGGAGGAACACCAGCGGCGAAGGCGGCUUUCUGGACUGUAACUGUCACUGAGGCACGAAAGCGUGGGUAGCAAACAGGAUUAGAUACCCUGGUAGUCCACGCCGUAAACGAUGAGCACUAGGUGUUGGGCCCGUUAGGGCUCAGUGCCGCAGUUAACGCAAUAAGUGCUCCGCCUGGGGAGUACGCUCGCAGAGUAAAACUCAAAGGAAUUGACGGGGACUCGCACAAGCAGCGGAGCAUGUGGUUUAUUCGAAGCAACGCGUAGAUCCUUACCAGGGCUGACAUCCUGCUGACAGGACCUUACCGGUCCCUUCUUCGACAGCAAGAGACAGGUGAUGCAUGCUUGUCGUCAGCUCCGU